This 497-nucleotide ribosomal RNA is filed under the name uncultured bacterium. RNAcentral's name for it is "partial 16S ribosomal RNA". It matches the Rfam family "Bacterial small subunit ribosomal RNA", at positions 28 to 507 of the family's 1533-position model. The record is from RNAcentral.
GAUGAACGCUGGCGGCGUGCCUAAUACAUGCAAGUCGAGCGAACAGACGAGGAGCUUGCUCCUCUGACGUUAGCGGCGGACGGGUGAGUAACACGUGGAUAACCUACCUAUAAGACUGGGAUAACUUCGGGACACCGGAGCUAAUACCGGAUAAUAUAUUUAACCGCAUGGUUCAAUAGUGAAAGACGGUUUUGCUGUUACUUAUAGAUGGAUCCGCGCCGCAUUAGCUAGUUGGUAAGGUAACGGCUUACCAAGGCAACGAUGCGUAGCCGACCUGAGAGGGUGAUCGGCAAAACGGGAACUGAGACACGGUCCAGACUCCUACGGGAGGCAGAAGUAGGGAAUCUUCCGCAAUGGGCGAAAGCCUGACGGAGAAACGCCGCGUGAGUGAUGAGGGUCUUCGGAUCGUAAAACUCUGUUAUUAGGGAAGAACAAAUGUGUAAGUAACUAUGCACGUCUUGACGGUACCUAAUCAGAAAGCCACGGCUAACUACGUG